Molecule: ribosomal RNA, 2721 nt
Filed under: Triticum aestivum (bread wheat)
Lineage: Eukaryota; Viridiplantae; Streptophyta; Magnoliopsida; Poales; Poaceae
Description: partial small subunit ribosomal RNA
Source: RNAcentral
AUGACGUCGCCGGCGACGGAGAAGCCCAAGACCACCAAGAAGCACAACGCGCACCUCAACAACCCCUUCCCGCGCGCCGUCCCGGCCGCCGCUUUCCGCAACGGCGAUGCCGCGCCGCCCCUCUCCUUCGGCCCGUUCUCCAAGCUCGCCCACGCCCACGAUUACCCCGUUGGCUCCCGAUUCCGCCUGAGCUGGAAUCCCUCGCUCGGCGGAGCGGUCUCGCUGGCACGCGUCUCCUCCUCCGACGGCGAUCCUCGCAGCCGCGUGAUGUGGGAGACCAUCCCCGGCGUCGCGUUCGUCUCCGCGGCUUCCGCCACCACCGAGGCCGACGAGUGCCGCGGAUCGUUCGCGCUCCGCGACGGACGCGCCCGCCUUGUUCCCGACCGCCAGAGCGUCGACAGGAUCAGGUCCUUGUACCGCUGCGACGUCGAGGCCGGCGCCGACGCCCUGCGCGGCGCCGCGUUCGAAGCGUCUGACCAGACACGGUUCCCGGUGCUGUUGAUCACCGGGGUCGUGUCUGCGAAGAAGGCGGACCCUGCGUCGUCGUGCUGCUGCGGCCUGCGCGCCGGCCGCCGUGCCAGGGCCCGCGCUGGAAAGCCGGUCCUGUCAGGGAGGUACUGGGUCUUCCUGGAGGAGAAGAGCGACACGCAAGUGUCGUUCAGCGUCAAGAUCGCCGACUACCAAUGGAGCUGCGGCCACGCCGAUCCUUCGAGUCCACCACCGGCGGCCACGACAGCUCCAAGGCCCCACCGGAUCAACAUCCUGAGCCUUCGGCUCCGCCUGGCGGGGAGAGUCCAUAGGAACAUGAGCAAGAAGAAGAAGCUCUCCGCCCAGGAGGAGCUCUCAGCGCUGCUGCCGCCGACGGAAAGAGCGUCGGCGGACGAGGAGGCACGGCCGGAGGAGUUCAACCGGGUGUUCCUCACGUACGUGAGCGAGCGCGACGAGCGGUUCUACGGCUUCGGCGAGCAAUUCAGCUGCAUGGAAUUCAAGGGGAGAAGGGUGCCCGUUCUUGUGCAGGAACAGGGGAUUGGCAGGGGAGACCAGCCCAUCACUUUCGCUGCCAAUCUCCUCAGCUACAGGUCGGGAGGAAACUGGAGCACCACGUAUGCUCCAUCUCCUUUCUACAUGACCUCCAAGAUGAGGUCCCUGUACCUGGAGGGAUACGAUUAUUCUAUAUUUGACCUUACAAAACCUGACAGAGUGCAGAUUCAGGUAUAUGGUAAUUCGGUUCAGGGAAGAAUACUGCAGGGAGAGUCACCGACCGAUCUGAUCACGAGCUACACGGGGUCGACCGGACGGCCGCCGGUUCUUCCCAGAUGGAUCACGUCCGGCGCGGUCGUCGGCAUGCAGGGCGGCACGGACGCCGUCCGCCGUGUGUGGAGCCAGCUGCAAGACCACGACGUCCCGGUCUCCGCAUUCUGGCUGCAGGAUUGGGUUGGGCAGAGGAAGACGGCGAUCGGGUCGCAGCUCUGGUGGAACUGGGAGGUCGACGACGAUCACUACUCCGGCUGGAAGGACCUUAUACGCGAUCUCCGGCGCGACGGCGUGAGGACGAUGACAUACUGCAAUCCCUGCCUUGUCCCGAUGGGUGAGAAGGGGAACGCGAGGAGGCACCUGUACGAGGAGGCCAAGGAGCUGGGGAUCCUGGUGAGGGACGAGGCCGGCGAGCCGUACAUGAUGCCCAACACGGCGUUCGACGUGGCCAUGCUGGACUUCACCAACCCGGAGGCGAGCUCCUGGUUCAAGGGCAUCCUGCGCGGGAUGGCGGACGAAGGCGUCAGCGGCUGGAUGGCCGACUUCGGCGAGGGCCUCCCUCUGGACGCGCGGCUCCACUCCGGGGAGGACCCCGUGGCGGCGCACAACCGGUACCCGGAGCUGUGGGCGCGCGUCAACCGGGAGUUCGCCGACGAGUGGAAGUCGGAAGCCGGCGAGGACGAGGAGGAAGGGCUGGUGUUCUUCGUGCGGGCGGGGUUCAGGGAGAGCUCCAGGUGGGCGAUGCUCUUCUGGGAGGGGGACCAGAUGGUGAGCUGGCAGGCCAACGACGGCAUCAAGAGCAGCGUCGUCGGCCUGCUCAGCGGCGGCCUCUCCGGCAUCCCGCUGAACCACAGCGACGCCGGCGGGUACUGCACCGUCGACCUCCCGCUCCUGCGCUACCGACGGAGCGAGGAGCUCCUCAUGCGGUGGAUGGAGGUGAACGCCUUCACCGUCGUCUUCCGCACCCACGAGGGGAACAAGCCCGGGUCCAACUGCCAGUUCUACUCCAACAGCCGGACCCUCGCGCAUUUCGCGCGCUGCGCCAAUAUGUACAAAGCCUGGGAGUUCUACCGCCUCCAGCUCGUCAAGGAGGCGGCGGAGAAGGGCCUCCCCGUGGCGCGCCACCUCUUCCUGCACUACCCGGAGGACCGGCGCGUGCAGGAGAUGACGUACCAGCAGUUCCUGGUCGGGACGGAGAUGCUGGUGGUGCCGGUCCUGGACAAGGGCAGGACCGCGGUGACCGCCUACUUUCCGACGUCGGACGGGGGGUCGUGGAGGCACGUGUGGACCGGCGAAGAGUUUGGCGGUGGGCACAGGAGCGGGCACGGUAGCCUGGGGGAGGCGACGGUGCACGGGUUCGAGGCCGAGGUCAGCGCCGACGUCGGCUGUCCGGCCGUGUUUGUGAGGGUUGGGUCACCCGUUGGGGAAAGGUUUGUAAGAAAUUUGAGAGACCUCGGUGUAAUUUAA